RNAcentral lists this long non-coding RNA (1044 nucleotides) under Felis catus (domestic cat). Its description in RNAcentral is "lncRNA (ENSFCAG00000051817.1)". The record is from RNAcentral. Lineage: Eukaryota; Metazoa; Chordata; Mammalia; Carnivora; Felidae.
AUGGGACUGGUCAACCUAACAAGAAAAGGCCAAUUUUUUUUUUUUUUUUUUUUUUUUUUUUUUUUUUUUUUUUUUUUUUUUUUUUUUUUUUUUUUUUUUUUUUUUUUUUUUUUUUUUUUUUUUUUUUUUUUUUUUUUUUUUUUUUUUUUUUUUUUUUUUUUUUUUUUUUUUUUUUUUUUUUUUUUUUUUUUUUUUUUUUUUUUUUUUUUUUUUUUUUUUUUUUUUUUUUUUUUUUUUUUUUUUUUUUUUUUUUUUUUUUUUUUUUUUUUUUUUUUUUUUUUUUUUUUUUUUUUUUUUUUUUUUUUUUUUUUUUUUUUUUUUUUUUUUUUUUUUUUUUUUUUUUUUUUUUUUUUUUUUUUUUUUUUUUUUUUUUUUUUUUUUUUUUUUUUUUUUUUUUUUUUUUUUUUUUUUUUUUUUUUUUUUUUUUUUUUUUUUUUUUUUUUUUUUUUUUUUUUUUUUUUUUUUUUUUUUUUUUUUUUUUUUUUUUUUUUUUUUUUUUUUUUUUUUUUUUUUUUUUUUUUUUUUUUUUUUUUUUUUUUUUUUUUUUUUUUUUUUUUUUUUUUUUUUUUUUUUUUUUUUUUUUUUUUUUUUUUUUUUUUUUUUUUUUUUUUUUUUUUUUUUUUUUUUUUUUUUUUUUUUUUUUUUUUUUUUUUUUUUUUUUUUUUUUUUUUUUUUUUUUUUUUUUUUUUUUUUUUUUUUUUUUUUUUUUUUUUUUUUUUUUUUUUUUUUUUUUUUUUUUUUUUUUUUUUUUUUUUUUUUUUUUUUUUUUUUUUUUUUUUUUUUUUUUUUUUUUUUUUUUUUUUUUUUUUUUUUUUUUUUUUUUUUUUUUUUUUUUUUUUUUUUUUUUUUUUUUUUUUUUUUUUUUUUUUUUUUUUUUUUUUUUUUUUUUUUUUUUUUUUUUUUUUUUUUUUUUUUUUUUUUUUUUUUUUUUUUUUUUUUUUUUUUUUUUUUUUUUUUUUUUUUUUUUUUUUUUUUUUUUUUUUUUUUUUUUUUUUUUUUUUUUUUUUUUUUUUUUUUUUUUUUUUUUUUUUUUUUUUUUUUUUU